This 441-nucleotide ribosomal RNA is filed under the name uncultured bacterium. RNAcentral describes it as "bacterial SSU rRNA". It matches the Rfam family "Bacterial small subunit ribosomal RNA", at positions 43 to 524 of the family's 1533-position model. The record is from RNAcentral.
CAGGCCUAACACAUGCAAGUCGAACGAGUGUGUCCCUUCGGGGUCUAGUGGCGCACGGGUGCGUAACGCGUGGGAAUCUGCCCUUGGGUUCGGAAUAACCGUUGGAAACGACGGCUAAUACCGGAUGAUGACGUAAGUCCAAAGAUUUAUCGCCUGAGGAUGAGCCCGCGUAGGAUUAGCUAGUUGGUGUGGUAAAGGCGCACCAAGGCGACGAUCCUUAGCUGGUCUGAGAGGAUGAUCAGCCACACUGGGACUGAGACACGGCCCAGACUCCUACGGGAGGCAGCAGUGGGGAAUAUUGGACAAUGGGCGAAAGCCUGAUCCAGCAAUGCCGCGUGAGUGAUGAAGGCCUUAGGGUUGUAAAGCUCUUUUACCCGGGAUGAUAAUGACAGUACCGGGAGAAUAAGCUCCGGCUAACUCCGUGCCAGCAGCCGCGGUAAU